UUUUUAUCUGCGAUCAAGACGAAUUACAAAGCACUGGUGAAUCAAACACAUAGUUUCUACGAUUUCGUUGAGAAUCUUUUACAGUAUUUCGAAAAUGCUUAUAUAAUUUCUUUUGUACGAGAUUGACGAGACAGAAAACUGAGACAUUAUGGCUUGUUGCUCAAGAUAUGCAAGCUAAGGUGAAGAAAACGCGGCGGCGGAGGUGCAGAGGAGUUAGAAUUGGCACCCGCUAGGUCCAUAGGAGGAGCGCUCGUCGGAUGGAUGGAAAUUGAGGCAUGCGCUCUGCUGGCCGCAAUAAGGUGGGUGUUGGAUUCUGGCCAUGAAAAUGUAGUGUUUGAAACGGCUGCUAUAGGGGUCGUAGAUCGGCUAGUCGGUGGGGAGAGUAAUGUUACGGAACUUGGUGAUAUCUUGACCCAAUGCCACACAAUCCUAACAGAGUCUAGUUGGUUAUUGUUUGUUUGAAGGUGUAGGAAUAUGGUCAGCUAGCUAGACAUAUAGAUUCCUCAUUCCUACCCACUUUUUUGGGUCAUUUCUCCGUUUUAGUUAUAGGAGCAUGUAAACGAUAUUUGUUCGUUGAUGGAUCAUUUAUAUCACGAG
RNAcentral lists this long non-coding RNA (597 nucleotides) under Linum usitatissimum (flax). RNAcentral's name for it is "long non-coding RNA (LUSI_LNC002856)". Lineage: Eukaryota; Viridiplantae; Streptophyta; Magnoliopsida; Malpighiales; Linaceae. The record is from RNAcentral.